GAUGAACGCUGGCGGCGUGCCUAAUACAUGCAAGUCGAGCGAACAGACGAGGAGCUUGCUCCUUCGACGUUAGCGGCGGACGGGUGAGUAACACGUAGGUAACCUACCUAUAAGACUGGGAUAACUUCGGGAAACCGGAGCUAAUACCGGAUAAUAUUUCGAACCGCAUGGUUCGAUAGUGAAAGAUGGCUUUGCUAUCACUUAUAGAUGGACCUGCGCCGUAUUAGCUAGUUGGUAAGGUAACGGCUUACCAAGGCAACGAUACGUAGCCGACCUGAGAGGGUGAUCGGCCACACUGGAACUGAGACACGGUCCAGACUCCUACGGGAGGCAGCAGUAGGGAAUCUUCCGUAAUGGGCGAAAGCCUGACGGAGCAACGCCGCGUGAGUGAUGAAGGUCUUCGGAUCGUAAAACUCUGUUAUUAGGGAAGAACAAACGUGUAAGUAACUGUGCACGUCUUGACGGUACCUAAUCAGAAAGCCACGGCUAACUACGUG
RNAcentral lists this ribosomal RNA (497 nucleotides) under uncultured bacterium. Its description in RNAcentral is "partial 16S ribosomal RNA". It matches the Rfam family "Bacterial small subunit ribosomal RNA", at positions 28 to 507 of the family's 1533-position model. The record is from RNAcentral.